CGCGUAGGUGGCUAAUUAAGUCAAAUGUGAAAUCCCCGAGCUUAACUUGGGAAUUGCAUUCGAUACUGGUUAGCUAGAGUAUGGGAGAGGAUGGUAGAAUUCCAGGUGUAGCGGUGAAAUGCGUAGAGAUCUGGAGGAAUACCGAUGGCGAAGGCAAUCCCCUGGGCCUGCACUGACGCUCAUGCACGAAAGCGUGGGGAGCAAACAGGAUUAGAUACCCUAGUA
This 225-nucleotide ribosomal RNA is filed under the name uncultured Acinetobacter sp. RNAcentral describes it as "partial 16S ribosomal RNA". It matches the Rfam family "Bacterial small subunit ribosomal RNA", at positions 568 to 792 of the family's 1533-position model. The record is from RNAcentral. Lineage: Bacteria; Pseudomonadati; Pseudomonadota; Gammaproteobacteria; Moraxellales; Moraxellaceae.